This 64-nucleotide transfer RNA is filed under the name Aguriahana triangularis. Its description in RNAcentral is "tRNA-Asp". The record is from RNAcentral. Lineage: Eukaryota; Metazoa; Arthropoda; Insecta; Hemiptera; Cicadellidae.
AAAGAUUUAGUUUAAUUUAAAACAUUAAUUUGUCACUUUAAAAAUAUUUAGUAAAUAAUCUUUU